GGAUGUAGCUUAGCCGGUUAAAGCGCCAGUUUGUGGCACUGGAGAUCGUGGGUUCGAAUCCCAUCUUC
RNAcentral lists this transfer RNA (68 nucleotides) under Clostridium merdae. It matches the Rfam family "tRNA". Rfam says of the family: Transfer RNA (tRNA) molecules are approximately 80 nucleotides in length. Their secondary structure includes four short double-helical elements and three loops (D, anti-codon, and T loops). Lineage: Bacteria; Bacillati; Bacillota; Clostridia; Eubacteriales; Clostridiaceae. The record is from RNAcentral.